This 253-nucleotide ribosomal RNA is filed under the name uncultured bacterium. RNAcentral's name for it is "partial 16S ribosomal RNA". It matches the Rfam family "Bacterial small subunit ribosomal RNA", at positions 524 to 776 of the family's 1533-position model. The record is from RNAcentral.
UACGUAGGUGGCAAGCGUUGUCCGGAUUUACUGGGCGUAAAGGGCGUGCAGGCGGUCUGUUAAGUCUAGGGUGAAAGCUCCCGGCUCAACUGGGAGAGGUCCUUGGAUACUGGCAGACUUGAGGAGGGUAGAGGAGAGUGGAAUUCCCGGUGUAGCGGUGAAAUGCGCAGAUAUCAGGAGGAACACCAAUGGCGAAGGCAGCACUCUGGGACGUGACUGACGCUGAGACGCGAAAGCGUGGGGAGCAAACAGG